AUUGAACGCUGGCGGCAGGCUUAACACAUGCGAGUCGAACGAUGAAACUCUAGCUUGCUAGAGAUGAUUAGUGGCGGACGGGUGAGUAACAUUUAGGAAUCUGCCUCGUAGUGGGGGAUAGCUCGGGGAAACUCGAAUUAAUACCGCAUACGACCUACGGGUGAAAGGGGGCGCAAGCUCUUGCUAUUAGAUGAGCCUAAAUCAGAUUAGCUAGUUGGUGGGGUAAAGGCCCACCAAGGCGACGAUCUGUAACUGGUCUGAGAGGAUGAUCAGUCACACCGGAACUGAGACACGGUCCGGACUCCUACGGGAGGCAGCAGUGGGGAAUAUUGGACAAUGGGGGCAACCCUGAUCCAGCCAUGCCGCGUGUGUGAAGAAGGCCUUUUGGUUGUAAAGCACUUUAAGCAGGGAGGAGAGGCUAAUGGUUAAUACCCAUUAGAUUAGACGUUACCUGCAGAAUAAGCACCGGCUAACUCUGUG
Molecule: ribosomal RNA, 480 nt
Filed under: uncultured bacterium
Lineage: Bacteria
Description: partial 16S ribosomal RNA
Rfam family: Bacterial small subunit ribosomal RNA
Source: RNAcentral